Molecule: long non-coding RNA, 3258 nt
Organism: Equus caballus (horse)
Lineage: Eukaryota; Metazoa; Chordata; Mammalia; Perissodactyla; Equidae
Source: Ensembl
GUUUUGACUGUCUCCUUAGAUACUGUGUGUCUACUUGGCAUCUAUUAAUCACAGGGCCAAACUAUCAGCCGAAAUAUUUCUCUCUCCUGCCGGUCAGCUUGCCUUAUCUCCUUUCCUGUGCAGACAGGCUCAGCCAAGGCAGAGACCCCACCCUCCUUCUUGUCUAACUUGCGCACACCAGACCGGUAUUGCGCCUGUCCUGAGUCAGCCCAGGCCAGGUACCAGGCACCGGGAGAGCCCAAAGGCCACCAGGCUUGUUUAGCCUAGCCAAUCUGACACUUCACUCUGCUUUGCCUUGCCUUCCGGAGGAAACUCCACUAUAGGCUCCGGCUUGUUCUUCGCUCCUGUCUUCUGCCUCCUGACCACCCUGGUGUUCCCCAUGUGGCCUUGGUGGCAGCAGGUGCCCCUUCUCUCAGGACAUCUAAGUAAUAAAUUCUUCUUUCGAUGGCAGUGACCUCUCCAUGGUGUCACUCAGUCGCCUCCAUAAAUUAAAAUCUCCCGGAUACAAGUGAGACAAUAAGGGAGAAGGAGAAGGGAGAAGACACGGACCAGGGAAAUGGCCACGUGAAGACGGAGGCAGAGACUGGAGUGAUACGAGUGCAGGAGUGUCUGGAGCCAGCAGAAGCUGGAAGAGGUGAGGAAGGACCCUCCCCCCAGCCCAGAGCCUUCAGGGGGAGCGUGGCCUGCAGACGCCUUGAUUUCGGACUUCUGGCCUCGGAAAUCUGUGGGGAUUUGUUAUGGCGGCUCCAGGAAGCUAACAGAGCAUCUACCAGUUGACGACCACUUGUUGAGUCUUUAUUCUUAACACACACUCAGACGCUGUACUACUUGACCCUCCCGACAACGCCUUGUGGUCAGUACUGUCGUCCCCAUUUUACAGAUGAGGGAAGUGCGCCUCAGCCAGGAGAAGAGCUGGGGGUGAGCCAGGCCGUGCCGCCCAAGCCCCUAAGCCCAUAAGCCACUGCGCGAUCGUGUGACCCGAUGGUGCGGAACCGGUACCCUUUUAGAGGAGGGGAGGAUGUUGCUUCCGCAAACCUGUGCAGUCACAUUUGGGCACACCAGUCCCCCCUUCACCCCAAGCCCCUGAUGCCGUCACCUGCUUUCUAUACCUGCUGUGAUGGGCACCGUUCACCAUGGUCCCUGCUCUAGCCGCUGCCACCUCGGGGUGGCCCCUGGACCUGGUCACUCCCUGGCCCCCCACGCCUGCUCCUGGGAGUGUGGCCUGGAGCCUUCGGGACUCUGUGGCCCUGCCUGCAGCCGCACCCCAUGGCCUUGUCCACCUUGAGGCGGGUGGUGCACAUGGGCCCUGCUCUCCAGUGAGACCACCUUGGGGAGACCGGGGAAGGCCCUUGGCGGCCUGAGUCUGUGGCUGGCUGCUCUUCGGACCCUCAGCCCCAACUCUCGGCUCCCAGGGCAGCCUUUCUGGAUAUCAGCAUCCUAGAGGGGGCUCCAGAUUCUGUAUCUUCCCAGAACUCCCACUUCCUGUAUGUUCAACACACUUAAGGAGGUGGAGCACCCUGGGCUCCAUCAGCAGAUGGUACGGGAAUUCUGCUUCGAACAGACACUGGGUUUGUUUGGAAGAAAUAGGUUAAUAAGCCCCAUGGGGUGCGGGCCGAGACCCCAAAGGCAUUCUCAAGUAACAAAGGAUGAUGCUACCCUGCUUUCUAAGGAAGUAGAUGCUGUUAACCUGAGGGCCUUCGCCUGGAAAGAGCUGGGUUUGGGCCAGGAGCCUGGUUGUUCACGGGGGAGACGGGGUGAGGAUUUUGAAGUUACUGGGAAUCGAUUGCCGGAGUUAGAGGCGAGGAGCGAGGCCAGCUAUGCUGCGAGGUGGGGAAAGCUCAGGCUCCCUGCGGUGGAGCGGGUGAGGCUCAGGGAGAACAGAAAUGUCUGCAGGGAAUUUUUCAGUUGUUUGCGCUCAGGUCUCCGAGGUAAACCCCUCUCCUUCAUCGCCAAACAUCAAAAAUCACACCUUGUUUGCUAACGCUUCUGUGAGUGCUGGCGCUGGGGACUGUGGCCCUGGGGGAGUGUUUUGCUUGGAGCAGACCACCCUUGGGGACACAGAGAGCAGGGACAGUGGAGGACGGGCUUGCAAAAUGGCGCUGGGACAAUUGGUGACGUAUUUGGAAAAACAUUGGAUUAGUUUCUCACUUUCACUUCCAGAUAUUAAAGAGCUUGAUGCAAAGAAAGAAAAUGAGAGAGAGAGAUCAAAAGCAGACUAAAAGGAAGUAUUUGAUUUGGGGAAGAAGUAUUUUCGGAAUGUAAAAGCUGGUAAAGAAAUUCCGAAGGGGAAAAUUAGACACAGGUCAAAACCACUCUAAAAAAUGUAAAAGCAAACCACAAACUGGGAAAAAAUAUUUGCUACAAAUACCACAAAGAGUUAAUAUCUAUCCUAUAUAAAGGUCCCAAACAGACUGGUAAGACGCAAUUAGAUACCCAAUAACACAAUAUACAACGGAUGAGACAGACUGUCACUGCACAAUAUGGGGGUUCUCUUGCCUGAUGGGCAUUUAAAAAGCCAGUUAAUUAUGGCAUCGGCGUUUGGAAAAGAAAUCAGCUUUAUUCUGCGAGACUGAUCUGCAGGGAGACAGGUGGUGUGUGCCCUCAGAUCUGUCUCCCCAAUUCCACAUUUGGGGCAAAAUUUAAGAGGCUAGGGAGAAUAGGCUGGCACAUGGAAACGCUGGUGGGACAGGCUUUGCUUGGUGGGCUUCAGACAUUUAUGGUGAGGUUCUGAACACUUAUGGUGAGGUUCUAAACACUUAUGAUGAGGUUCUAAACAUUUUUGAUGAGGUUCUAAGCAUUUUUGAUGAGGUUCUAAGCAUUUUUGAUGAGGUUCUAAGCAUUUUUGAUGAAGUUCUAAGCAUUUACGAUGAGGUUCUAAGCAUUUUUAUGAGAUUCUAAGCAUUUUUGAUGAGGAGGGGAAGGAAUUUUAACAUCAGAUCUUCCUGAAUGAUGGCCCUCUCACUUCUGAUAAGAGUCUGACUUUAAGAAUACCAGCUGAAGGAACGGCUCCCACUGAGGAGGCGUCAGUCUUGUGGCAGAGGACAAGAGCACGUGAACAGGCAGAAACAAGCAAUGGCUCUUAAGCGGCUCUUUGCAAUCUGACAGGUUAUGUCCUCGCACCUGCCACUGGCAAAGGCAGUCACUUGGUCAAGGCUACAGUCAGCAGAGCUGGGUGAACGGUCCUCCCCAGAAAGCACCGAAGGUCACAUGGCCACGGGUGGGGUUAAUCCCCUUUCAGGAAGGGAGAAUGAAUAAUUG